GGUUAAGUUAGAAAGGGCGCACGGUGGAUGCCUUGGCACUAGGAGCCGAUGAAGGACGGGACGAACACCGAUAUGCUUCGGGGAGCUGUAAGCAAGCUUUGAUCCGGAGAUUUCCGAAUGGGGAAACCCACCACUCGUAAUGGAGUGGUAUCCAUAUCUGAAUACAUAGGAUAUGAGAAGGCAGACCCGGGGAACUGAAACAUCUAAGUACCCGGAGGAAGAGAAAGCAAAUGCGAUUCCCUGAGUAGCGGCGAGCGAAACGGGACCAGCCCAAACCAAGAGGCUUGCCUCUUGGGGUUGUAGGACACUCUGUACGGAGUUACAAAGGAACGAGGUAGAUGAAGAGGUCUGGAAAGGCCCGCCAUAGGAGGUAACAGCCCUGUAGUCAAAACUUCGUUCUCUCCUGAGUGGAUCCUGAGUACGGCGGAACACGUGAAAUUCCGUCGGAAUCCGGGAGGACCAUCUCCCAAGGCUAAAUACUCCCUAGUGACGAUAGUGAACCAGUACCGUGAGGGAAAGGUGAAAAGCACCCCGGAAGGGGAGUGAAAGAGAUCCUGAAACCGUGUGCCUACAAGUAGUCAGAGCCCGUUAACGGGUGAUGGCGUGCCUUUUGUAGAAUGAACCGGCGAGUUACGAUCCCGUGCAAGGUUAAGCAGAAGAUGCGGAGCCGCAGCGAAAGCGAGUCUGAAUAGGGCGAAUUGAGUACGUGGUCGUAGACCCGAAACCAGGUGAUCUACCCAUGUCCAGGGUGAAGUUCAGGUAACACUGAAUGGAGGCCCGAACCCACGCACGUUGAAAAGUGCGGGGAUGAGGUGUGGGGUAGGGUGAAAUGCCAAUCGAACCUGGAGAUAGCUGGUUCUCUCCGAAAUAGCUUUAGGGCUAGCCUCAAGGUAAGAGUCUCGGAGGUAGAGCACUGAUUGGACUAGGGGCCCCUACCGGGUUACCGAAUUCAGUCAAACUCCGAAUGCCGAUGACUUAUCCUUGGGAGUCAGACUGCGAGUGAUAAGAUCCGUAGUCGAAAGGGAAACAGCCCAGACCGCCAGCUAAGGUCCCAAAGUAUACGUUAAGUGGAAAAGGAUGUGGAGUUGCUUAGACAACCAGGAUGUUGGCUUAGAAGCAGCCACCAUUUAAAGAGUGCGUAAUAGCUCACUGGUCGAGUGACUCUGCGCCGAAAAUGUACCGGGGCUAAACGUAUCACCGAAGCUGCGGACUGUUCUUCGAACAGUGGUAGGAGAGCGUUCUAAGGGCUGUGAAGCAAGACCGGAAGGACUUGUGGAGCGCUUAGAAGUGAGAAUGCCGGUAUGAGUAGCGAAAGAGGGGUGAGAAUCCCCUCCACCGAAUGCCUAAGGUUUCCUGAGGAAGGCUCGUCCGCUCAGGGUUAGUCGGGACCUAAGCCGAGGCCGAAAGGCGUAGGCGAUGGAUAACAGGUUGAUAUUCCUGUACCACCUCCUCACCAUUUGAGCAAUGGGGGGACGCAGGAGGAUAGGGUAAGCGCGGUAUUGGAUAUCCGCGUCCAAGCAGUUAGGCUGGGAAAUAGGCAAAUCCGUUUCCCGUGAAGGCUGAGCUGUGAUGGCGAGCGAAUUAUAGUAGCGAAGUUCCUGAUUCCACACUGCCAAGAAAAGCCUCUAGCGAGGUGAGAGGUGCCCGUACCGCAAACCGACACAGGUAGGCGAGGAGAGAAUCCUAAGGUGAUCGAGAGAACUCUCGUUAAGGAACUCGGCAAAAUGACCCCGUAACUUCGGGAGAAGGGGUGCUCUGUUAGGGUGCAAGCCCGAGAGAGCCGCAGUGAAUAGGCCCAGGCGACUGUUUAGCAAAAACACAGGUCUCUGCGAAGCCGUAAGGCGAAGUAUAGGGGCUGACGCCUGCCCGGUGCUGGAAGGUUAAGAGGAGCGCUUAGCGUAAGCGAAGGUGCGAAUUGAAGCCCCAGUAAACGGCGGCCGUAACUAUAACGGUCCUAAGGUAGCGAAAUUCCUUGUCGGGUAAGUUCCGACCCGCACGAAAGGCGCAACGAUCUGGGCACUGUCUCAACGAGAGACUCGGUGAAAUUAUAGUACCUGUGAAGAUGCAGGUUACCCGCGACAGGACGGAAAGACCCCGUGGAGCUUUACUGCAGCCUGAUAUUGAAUGUUGGUACAGCUUGUACAGGAUAGGUAGGAGCCUUGGAAACCGGAGCGCCAGCUUCGGUGGAGGCAUCGGUGGGAUACUACCCUGGCUGUAUUGACCUUCUAACCGCCGCCCUUAUCGGGCGGGGAGACAGUGUCAGGUGGGCAGUUUGACUGGGGCGGUCGCCUCCUAAAAGGUAACGGAGGCGCCCAAAGGUUCCCUCAGAAUGGUUGGAAAUCAUUCGCAGAGUGUAAAGGCACAAGGGAGCUUGACUGCGAGACCUACAAGUCGAGCAGGGACGAAAGUCGGGCUUAGUGAUCCGGUGGUUCCGCAUGGAAGGGCCAUCGCUCAACGGAUAAAAGCUACCCCGGGGAUAACAGGCUUAUCUCCCCCAAGAGUCCACAUCGACGGGGAGGUUUGGCACCUCGAUGUCGGCUCAUCGCAUCCUGGGGCUGUAGUCGGUCCCAAGGGUUGGGCUGUUCGCCCAUUAAAGCGGUACGCGAGCUGGGUUCAGAACGUCGUGAGACAGUUCGGUCCCUAUCCGUCGCGGGCGCAGGAAAUUUGAGAGGAGCUGUCCUUAGUACGAGAGGACCGGGAUGGACGCACCGCUGGUGUACCAGUUGUUCUGCCAAGGGCAUCGCUGGGUAGCUAUGUGCGGACGGGAUAAGUGCUGAAAGCAUCUAAGCAUGAAGCCCCCUCAAGAUGAGAUUUCCCAUUCCGCAAGGAAGUAAGAUCCCUGAAAGAUGAUCAGGUUGAUAGGUCUGAGGUGGAAGUGUGGCGACACAUGGAGCUGACAGAUACUAAUCGAUCGAGGACUUAACCAA
RNAcentral lists this ribosomal RNA (2927 nucleotides) under Bacillus velezensis. Its description in RNAcentral is "23S ribosomal RNA". It matches the Rfam family "Bacterial large subunit ribosomal RNA". Lineage: Bacteria; Bacillati; Bacillota; Bacilli; Caryophanales; Bacillaceae. The record is from RNAcentral.